Molecule: long non-coding RNA, 254 nt
Filed under: Helianthus annuus (common sunflower)
Lineage: Eukaryota; Viridiplantae; Streptophyta; Magnoliopsida; Asterales; Asteraceae
Description: hypothetical non coding rna
Source: RNAcentral
UAGCUUCAUGAAUCAAGCAAUUGAAUGCUUAAAUCAAAAGAAAAUCUGUUGCAUGAGCUCAAAUUUCGAAUAGCAAGUUCCAAUUUGUGAAGUGGCAAAGCGAUGUAGGAUUAAAGAAUGAUAUGAAUUUGUUGAUUGUUGAUGGGUUAUGAGGCGUGAAAGAAGAAGGUUCCAACACUAGGAAAUCGGAAGGCUCACAAGAUCGAGGUAAAUCCUCAAGCUAGGCGGUCGGACGAUUUGGAAUGAGCACACUU